UACAGAGGGGGCCAGCGUUAUUCGGAAUUAUUGGGCGUCAAGGGCGCGUAGGCGGCUUUGCGUGUCUUUCGUGAAAUCCCUCGGCUCAACUGAGGACGUGCGGAAGAAACUGCAGGGCUGGAGUCCGGGAGAGGAGGGUGGCAUUCCCAGUGUAGCGGUGAAAUGCGUAGAUAUUGGGAGGAACACCGGUGGCGAAGGCGGCCCUCUGGACCGGUACUGACGCUGAUGCGCGAAAGCGUGGGGAGCAAACGGG
RNAcentral lists this ribosomal RNA (253 nucleotides) under uncultured bacterium. RNAcentral's name for it is "partial 16S ribosomal RNA". It matches the Rfam family "Bacterial small subunit ribosomal RNA", at positions 524 to 776 of the family's 1533-position model. The record is from RNAcentral.